GACGAACGCUGGCGGCGUGCUUAACACAUGCAAGUCGAACGGAAAGGCCCUGCUUGCAGGGUACUCGAGUGGCGAACGGGUGAGUAACACGUGGGUGAUCUGCCCUGCACUUCGGGAUAAGCCUGGGAAACUGGGUCUAAUACCGGAUAGGAGCCAUUUUUAGUGUGAUGGUUGGAAAGUUUUUUCGGUGUAGGAUGAGCUCGCGGCCUAUCAGCUUGUUGGUGGGGUAAUGGCCUACCAAGGCGGCGACGGGUAGCCGGCCUGAGAGGGUGGACGGCCACAUUGGGACUGAGGACAGGCCCAGAAUUCUACGGGGGGCAGCAGUGGGGAAAAUUGCAAAAUGGGGGGAAGCCUGAUGCAGCGACGCCGCGUGGGGGAUGACGGGCUUCGGGUUGUAAACUCCUUUCGCUAGGGACGAAGCUUUUUGUGACGGUACCUAGAUAAGAAGCACCGGCUAACUACGUG
RNAcentral lists this ribosomal RNA (465 nucleotides) under uncultured bacterium. RNAcentral's name for it is "partial 16S ribosomal RNA". It matches the Rfam family "Bacterial small subunit ribosomal RNA", at positions 28 to 507 of the family's 1533-position model. The record is from RNAcentral.